This 499-nucleotide ribosomal RNA is filed under the name uncultured bacterium. RNAcentral's name for it is "bacterial SSU rRNA". It matches the Rfam family "Bacterial small subunit ribosomal RNA", at positions 336 to 852 of the family's 1533-position model. The record is from RNAcentral.
CUNNUACGGGAGGCAGCAGUGGGGAAUAUUGGACAAUGGACCAAAAGUCUGAUCCAGCAAUUCUGUGUGCACGAUGACGGUCUUCGGAUUGUAAAGUGCUUUCAGUUGGGAAGAAAGAAAUGACGGUACCAACAGAAGAAGCGACGGCUAAAUACGUGCCAGCAGCCGCGGUAAUACGUAUGUCGCAAGCGUUAUCCGGAUUUAUUGGGCGUAAAGCGCGUCUAGGUGGUUUGAUAAGUUUGAUGUGAAAAUGCGGGGCUCAACUCCGUAUUGCGUUGGAAACUGUCAAACUAGAGUAUCGGAGAGGUGGGCGGAACUACAAGUGUAGAGGUGAAAUUCGUAGAUAUUUGUAGGAAUGCCGAUAGAGAAGUCAGCUCACUGGACGAAUACUGACACUGAAGCGCGAAAGCAUGGGGAGCAAACAGGAUUAGAUACCCUGGUAGUCCAUGCCGUAAACGAUGANNNNUAAGCGUCGGGGGUCGAACCUCGGCACUCAAGC